RNAcentral lists this ribosomal RNA (498 nucleotides) under uncultured bacterium. RNAcentral describes it as "partial 16S ribosomal RNA". It matches the Rfam family "Bacterial small subunit ribosomal RNA", at positions 28 to 508 of the family's 1533-position model. The record is from RNAcentral.
GAUGAACGCUGGCGGCGUGCCUAAUACAUGCAAGUCGAGCGAACGGACGAGAAGCUUGCUUCUCUGAUGUUAGCGGCGGACGGGUGAGUAACACGUGGAUAACCUACCUAUAAGACUGGGAUAACUUCGGGAAACCGUAGCUAAUACCGGAUAAUAUUUUGAACCGCAUGGUUCAAAAGUGAAAGACGGUCUUGCUGUCACUUAUAGAUGGAUCCGCGCUGCAUUAGCUAGUUGGUAAGGUAACGGCUUACCAAGGCAACGAUGCAUAGCCGACCUGAGAGGGUGAUCGGCCACACUGGAACUGAGACACGGUCCAGACUCCUACGGGAGGCAGCAGUAGGGAAUCUUCCGCAAUGGGCGAAAGCCUGACGGAGCAACGCCGCGUGAGUGAUGAAGGGCUUCGGAUCGUAAAACUCUGUUAUUAGGGAAGAACAUAUGUGUAAGUAACUGUGCACAUCUUGACGGUACCUAAUCAGAAAGCCACGGCUAACUACGUGC